RNAcentral lists this ribosomal RNA (61 nucleotides) under Paenibacillus pabuli. RNAcentral's name for it is "partial 23S ribosomal RNA". The record is from RNAcentral. Lineage: Bacteria; Bacillati; Bacillota; Bacilli; Caryophanales; Paenibacillaceae.
GGGGUGGAAGUGCAGCAAUGCAUGGAGCUGACCAGUACUAAUCGGUCGAGGGCUUAUCCAA